GCAUACGCCCUGAGGGGGAAAGCGGGGGACCGUAAGGCCUCGCGCGAUUAGAGCGGCCGAUGUCUGAUUAGCUUGUUGGUGAGGUAAAAGCUCACCAAGGCGAUGAUCAGUAGCUGGUCUGAGAGGACGAUCAGCCACACUGGGACUGAGACACGGCCCAGACUCCUACGGGAGGCAGCAGUGGGGAAUUUUGGACAAUGGGGGCAACCCUGAUCCAGCAAUGCCGCGUGAGUGAAGAAGGCCUUCGGGUUGUAAAGCUCUUUUGUCAGGGAAGAAACAGCAGCGUCGUAACACAGACUGCGAAUGACGGUACCUGAAGA
RNAcentral lists this ribosomal RNA (320 nucleotides) under uncultured beta proteobacterium. Its description in RNAcentral is "bacterial SSU rRNA". It matches the Rfam family "Bacterial small subunit ribosomal RNA", at positions 171 to 485 of the family's 1533-position model. The record is from RNAcentral. Lineage: Bacteria; Pseudomonadati; Pseudomonadota; Betaproteobacteria.